This is a long non-coding RNA of Cyprinus carpio carpio, 584 nucleotides long. NCBI's taxonomy places the organism in Eukaryota, Metazoa, Chordata, Actinopteri, Cypriniformes, Cyprinidae. The record is from Ensembl.
UCACAACUCCACAGAACAAAUAUAUGAAAACUCCUUCCAGAAAUGCACUUAGUAGGUUCCCAAAGGACGCCUGCGAUGCAGUCAUCUCUUUUUUUCAUUUUCUCAUGGCGUCUCUGGGUUGCUUCCUCAGAUGCCUUUGGAAAGUGAUUGAGGUCAUCAUGCUGAAUCACACUCUUUUUCCUCUUGUAGCAACCAGAACCAGUAUUGUUGGCUGAAGCACCUGAAGAUCCUUGAAGAUGGCGUUGGGUUUCUUCAUUUGGACACCCACUGCAUUACAUAUAACUGGGAAAUCAACAUCAUGUCUUCCUCUAGUUGAUUCUUCCACAUUAGUGUUGAGCUCAAUAACAUGAGGGAGCUGGUGCUUCAGCUGUCAGAGAGAAUCAUGGGAUAUCCUGCCAAGUGGUGUAAAGCUCUAGGGAUGUGUCAUUAGAGACCUCAUCUACAUUUGUGGCGGAGAUGAGAGUCAAUCUGACCUGCAUCCCUGUACUUGGUUAAUAAUGAGUCACGGAUGUUGUCAGACCACAUCACUGACGACACACACAGCUAUAAAUGGACAGUGAGUGAAGCCGAACUCUGAACUCCUC